This 253-nucleotide ribosomal RNA is filed under the name uncultured bacterium. RNAcentral describes it as "partial 16S ribosomal RNA". It matches the Rfam family "Archaeal small subunit ribosomal RNA", at positions 474 to 727 of the family's 1478-position model. The record is from RNAcentral.
UACCAGCACCCCGAGUGGUCGGGACGAUUAUUGGGCCUAAAGCAUCCGUAGCCGGUACUGCAAGUCUUCCGUUAAAUCCACCUGCUUAACAGUUGGGCUGCGGGGGAUACUACAGCGCUAGGAGGCGGGAGAGGCAAGCGGUACUCAAUGGGUAGGGGUAAAAUCCGUUGAUCCAUUGAAGACCACCAGUGGCUAAGGCGGCUUGCCAGAAUGCGCUCGACGGUGAGGGAUGAAAGCUGGGGGAGCAAACCGG